UACAGAGGGGGCAAGCGUUGUUCGGAAUUACUGGGCGUAAAGGGCGCGUAGGCGGCCUUCUAAGUCGAACGUGAAAUCCCCGGGCUCAACCCGGGAACUGCGUCCGAUACUGGGAGGCUUGAAUCCGGGAGAGGGAUGUGGAAUUCCAGGUGUAGCGGUGAAAUGCGUAGAUAUCAGGAGGAACACCGAUGGCGAAGGCAGCUCGCUGGGACGGUACUGACGCUGAGGCGCGAAAGCGUGGGGAGCAAACAGG
Molecule: ribosomal RNA, 253 nt
Filed under: uncultured bacterium
Lineage: Bacteria
Description: partial 16S ribosomal RNA
Rfam family: Bacterial small subunit ribosomal RNA
Source: RNAcentral